AGAGGUCUCGUCACAUUGGAGAAAGCUGAUUGAAAUAAAAAACAACCAGAAAAGGAAUUGGCACAGAAAGAUGGGUCUUCCUCGGUGUUUACACUUUGCGUGUGUUAUGAGAGCUUUCAGCCCACGGAAGCGAGGCCCAGCCAGGCUGCGUUUAGUUAGGCUCUGCUCCGUGAUCCCAGAGCUGAAUGGCCCCUUGCCAUCUGCUUCCAUUCAGUGUAAGGAGAGGACAUUAGAGUCGAAGGGAGCCGUGAACCCUGAUGGUGGGUUUUAGGAGCCACCCUUGAAGCUGAGCAGGAGUGCCAGGGAAGAGGCUGAGAUCAGGUGCCGAGGGCCUGAGACGCUGCACCACAGGACUCGGGCGCUGCCCUAGAGUUGGUGUUGAGCCACUGAACGACUUAAGCAGAAAACAUACUCCGAUUUUUAUUUCCAUCUCUUACUGAUUACAAACCACAUCCAACAGCCUGGAAACCUGAACAGGACACAUGAAGCUGAACUCUGGGUGUGGGCAGACUGUCAUUUCCUCCACAGGCCACACCAGUGCCCUAAGAGGCUAGAACGCUUAGGCAAUCAGGACUCACAGAGCUUAACUGGUUUACUCCUCUCCCAAGGUCUGAAAUCCACAAACCAUCCCUCAGGAAAACCUGAGCCCAGGAUCACUGGCAACCCCAACCCAAGGGAAGAAAUUAGAGCCUGAACCUCAGCAUUUACUUUAUGCCAGCUAUGGAGCAAGCGAAGCCCCCAUUCUUUGCCAAAUAAGUAAAUGCAAACGUAGCGGAGUCCAGAAGCCAAGCUGGGUUGAGGUGCAUAUUGUGUCAAGAGACAGAAUUUGCAGCUUCCCAUCACCAUAACAAAUCCCAGAGAUAAUCAGUUCACCAAAAGAAAAG
This 884-nucleotide long non-coding RNA is filed under the name Marmota monax (woodchuck). The record is from RNAcentral. Lineage: Eukaryota; Metazoa; Chordata; Mammalia; Rodentia; Sciuridae.